This 73-nucleotide transfer RNA is filed under the name Klebsiella phage PhiKpNIH-6. RNAcentral describes it as "tRNA-Gln". It matches the Rfam family "tRNA". From Rfam's summary of the family: Transfer RNA (tRNA) molecules are approximately 80 nucleotides in length. Their secondary structure includes four short double-helical elements and three loops (D, anti-codon, and T loops). Lineage: Duplodnaviria; Heunggongvirae; Uroviricota; Caudoviricetes. The record is from RNAcentral. RNAcentral also lists the same sequence under 1 other name.
UGGGAUAUAGCCAAGUUGGUAAGGCAUCCGGUUUUGAUCCGGAGAUGCUCAGGUUCGAGUCCUGAUAUCCCAG